This 429-nucleotide ribosomal RNA is filed under the name Acidobacteriota bacterium. RNAcentral describes it as "Acidobacteria bacterium partial 16S ribosomal RNA". It matches the Rfam family "Bacterial small subunit ribosomal RNA", at positions 355 to 776 of the family's 1533-position model. The record is from RNAcentral. Lineage: Bacteria; Pseudomonadati; Acidobacteriota.
UGGGGAAUUUUGGACAAUGGGGGAAACCCUGAUCCAGCCAUCCCGCGUGUGCGAUGAAGGCCUUCGGGUUGUAAAGCACUUUUGGCAGGAAAGAAACGUCAUGGGUUAAUACCCCGUGAAACUGACGGUACCUGCAGAAUAAGCACCGGCUAACUACGUGCCAGCAGCCGCGGUAAUACGUAGGGUGCAAGCGUUAAUCGGAAUUACUGGGCGUAAAGCGUGCGCAGGCGGUUCGGAAAGAAAGAUGUCAAAUCCCAGAGCUCAACUUUGGAACUGCAUUUUUAACUACCGGGCUAGAGUGUGUCAGAGGGAGGUGGAAUUCCGCGUGUAGCAGUGAAAUGCGUAGAUAUGCGGAGGAACACCGAUGGCGAAGGCAGCCUCCUGGGAUAACACUGACGCUCAUGCACGAAAGCGUGGGGAGCAAACAGG